This 761-nucleotide ribosomal RNA is filed under the name uncultured bacterium. Its description in RNAcentral is "bacterial SSU rRNA". It matches the Rfam family "Bacterial small subunit ribosomal RNA", at positions 8 to 782 of the family's 1533-position model. The record is from RNAcentral.
AGAGUUUGAUCAUGGCUCAGAAUGAACGCUGGCGGCGUGCUUAACACAUGCAAGUCGAACGGUAACAGGAAGUAGCUUGCUACUUUGCUGACGAGUGGCGCACGGGUGAGUAAUAUAUAGGUAAUGUGCCCCUUGGACCGGGAUAGCCACUGGAAACGGUGAUUAAUACUGGAUACUCCUUUUUUUCAUAAGAAGAAUCGGGAAAUGGAUUCCGCCAAGGGAUCGGCCUAUAUCCUAUCAGCUAGUUGGUGAGGUAAGAGCUCACCAAGGCGAUGACGGGUAGCGGGUUUGAGAGGAUGAUCCGCCACACUGGUACUGAGACACGGACCAGACUCCUACGGGAGGCAGCAGUGAGGAAUAUUGCACAAUGGGGGAAACCCUGAUGCAGCAACGCCGCGUGGAGGAUGACGCAUUUCGGUGUGUAAACUCCUUUUAUAUGUCAAGAAAAUGACGGUAGCAUAUGAAUAAGCACCGGCUAACUCCGUGCCAGCAGCCGCGGUAAUACGGAGGGUGCAAGCGUUAUUCGGAAUCACUGGGCGUAAAGGACGCGUAGGCGGGUUUGUAAGUCAGAUGUGAAAUCCUACAGCUUAACUGUAGAACUGCAUUUGAAACUACUAACCUAGAGUAUGGGAGGGGCAGAUGGAAUUAGUGGUGUAGGGGUAAAAUCCGUAGAUAUCACUAGGAAUACCGAAAGCGAAGGCGAUCUGCUGGAACAUUACUGACGCUAAGGCGUGAAAGCGUGGGGAGCAAACAGGAUUAGA